UAUAUAUAUGUAUAUAUAUAUAUAUAAUCUAUAUCUCCUGAAUUAGUUCAUGGAGACUAAAUCCUCUCUGGCAUGUUGCUAUAGUUCAAGUUCUAGCAUCAUUCUUUUGAAAUGUGUGUACAUUUAUGUAUAUUAUGUACACCCAUGGGUUCAUAUACACAUACAUAGGUGUAUAUUAGUUUCUAUAAAACGAUAAGUAUAAAUGUCAACAUAAUAUGAAUAUUUACAGCUAACAAUGCUGUAAAUGUGAAUCUUUUAAUUAUUCAUGUAAACAGCUUGUUAGGCGUACUAUUAUUUGUGGACUAAGUGAAUGUAACAUAGUCGUGUGACUCCAAACAUUGAUUCCUCUAAACGGGUUUAAACAAAACGAGAAAAAGUGUUUGUAAAUGUCUAUGAACUAAUAUUCUGUUUUCUGUGAAGUUCAUGGACCAACGGAAUGAAACUAACAGGAGAUAUAAAGUUAAGCUGUUCAUCACAUGACAUGUAAUCACCAGCACGUUGGUGCAGAUACGAGUAAAUGCUCUUUAUAUAUAUAAACACUUGGCUGCCUCUCGACGGGAGCUCAACUCCGUUUAAAACAAACUCAAAAGAUCUUUAAGAAGAAACAGAGCCAAUCUGUCGCCAACAUGACUAAUCCUGCUGGCAGAGGCUCUGCGCGGUUACCACGGUUACCACGGCAACGAGGGGGGUGUGCCAUCCACGACGCGGUACGAAGGGCUGCAGGAGGAUGCGUUUACCGUCGGCCCAUCCGUGUCAAUAAGAGGAAUACUGAGCUGGAGUCAUCGCAGCCGUAGGGUCACAGCAGCGGCACAUGUUUGUAGUCGUCUCUAAUCAACUAAUGACUUCAUUAAUCCGCUUAAGCUCCUCUUUUGUGGAACCAGCUUCCACUUUCUGUCCAGGGGGCAGAUUCGGUCAGCUCAUCUAAGAUAAAGCUUAAGACUUUCCUCUUUGAUAUGGCUUAUAGUUAGGGCUGGCUCAGGUUAGUCUGGACCAGCCCUUAGUUAAGCUGCUGUAGGCUUAGACUCACAGGUUUCCAUGCAUCAUGGUUCUAUCUGGAUCCUGUUCCUGCCUCCUGCCGUGGCCCUGCUGACACCUGCUGCUGCCAUCAUCAGUAUUAUUACUAUUUUAAAUAUGAAUCAUAUUACUAUUACUGUCCACAUAAACCACCAUUUCCUAAAGGCGUGUGCUUUUCCUCCCCACAGGCUUCUGUGGAUGGUGGUUCUAUGUGAUGGUGGUUCUAUGAGGUGGGGGUUCUAUCUGAUGGUGGUUCUAUGGGAUGGUGGUUCUAUCUGAUGGUGGUUCUAUGAGGUGGUGGUUCUAUCUGAUGGUGGUUCUAUGAGGUGGUCGUUCUAUGUGAUGGUGGUUCUAUGAGGUGGUCGUUCUAUGUGAUGGUGGUUCUAUGAGGUGGUCGUUCUAUGUGAUGGUGGUUCUAUGAGGUGGUGGUUCUAUCUGAUGGUGGUUCUAUGAGGUGGUCGUUCUAUGUGAUGGUGGUUCUAUGAGGUGGUCGUUCUAUCUGAUGGUGGUUCUAUGAGGUGGUGGUUCUAUGGGAUGGUGGUUCUAUCUGAUGGUGGUUCUAUGUGAUGGUGGUUCUCUCUGAUGGUGGUUCUAUGUGAUGGUGGUUCUAUGUGAUGGUGGUGGUCCCUGCAGUGGUCCUGCAGUACACCUGCUCACUACUCCCAUUAUUUGAAUCAUCUCUGUCAUAUGAAUUGAAUGUAUCGUUCAUCUUCCACAUUGUUCAUUCUGUCCUCAUGACAUCAUCGUAGUCUGUCCAUCAGGAGACGGAUCCUCCUCUGACGUUCUCACUGAGGGUUCUUCCCUUUUCUCCCCAUGGAAGGGUUUCAUUGUUUGGGGAGUUUUUCCUGUGAGGGUAUCUGGACAGAGGAUGUCACAUGUGUACAGACUAAUACCCACUGAGGCAAAUUUGUAAUUUGCAAUUUUAGCUCUACAAAAUAAAAUAAAUUGAAUUGAAUUCAUUAUUUUCUAAUUGAUUUGUGACUUGGUCAACGUUUCUCUUAUAUCAUAAUCAAUUAGAUAUUUUUAUAGCUCAACAAUCCAAAAUCCCACAUUUCCCUUAGAGGGAUUUUAGAAUCUGUUUCAGAACAUAGCGACAUGAUGGAGCCUCACGUCUCUCAUCCGAUCUCCUAUAAUAAUCUACAAUAAUACAGGAG
This is a long non-coding RNA of Gasterosteus aculeatus aculeatus (three-spined stickleback), 2168 nucleotides long. The record is from Ensembl. Lineage: Eukaryota; Metazoa; Chordata; Actinopteri; Perciformes; Gasterosteidae.